AAAACACCCCCCCCCCCCCCCCCAAAAAAAAAACAAAAAAAAAAAAAACAAAAAAAAAAAACAGCGUUAAGCACGUUUUCCACCCUGAGUUACACAGAGGAACAUUCCUCGUCGUGCUCCGACCACCGCGCAGCCAGUUCCAACACCGAGAUGACUCCAGUGUACGAGCUCACCAGGAAGAGGACGAGGACGACCCUCCUCACGCCCAGCCCCACACUCGCCAGCGGGGGUGCGAGCCCCGUUGUCAGCCCCGCACGCCAAUCAGGGCGGCCCGCCUGCCUUCCUGUAGGUGUGCCCGGCUCACCUGGGAGCCGCGGUGCUGAUGACAUACCUGCAGCCCCGGGGGAAGCACAGAGAUAGUCUGCUGUCGCCCAGGGCAGGGGGGCUACAGCCGGAACGGCGCCGGGGGCAGCACUGGCCCCGACCCGGCCGCCGCAGGUAGAGAUAGAAAUGUGGGCCCGGCCCCGGCAGCCGUAGCACUUUUCUACAUCGCUGCUGUGCCUCCCUCAUGGGAGUCAGGUCUUGCGCUGGUCACUGGACUGUGGACUUCAGAGGCCCUAGUGUCUCAGGGCUGCAUUUGAACUCUGGACACCUUGUUUUUCUCUCUGCUUUGCUCAUUGGUGUCUUGUGACUUUUAUGGCCUGUCAUGGAGGAACGGAAGGUGAGACACGCUUGCUGCACAUUUCCCUUCCCACCACCUGGAGCUUACCUCAGAGCCGUGGUUGCACCCUUGGUGCUCCAAGAAAGUUGCCUGACCUUUCAAGCUCCUGCAGUUCUUGCCUGGUCUGCACAGCACCCUUGUUAUCCUUAUGCUUUGUGCUUUAACUUAUUUUCAGAAGUUGGAUGGAUCAAAUCUGGCAGACAAUGCAGGGGCAGGGGAGCACCUUUGCCAAGGGAUUACUGGAUAUGGAUGCUGUUGCCUUGUCCUUGCCCCUCACUUGCUGACCAAACCACAUCCGUAACAUGCUACUGAAGUUUUGGGACAGCAUUCACUGAUGUUUUAGAAUUUCUUGGAAUCUAAAAGGCUUAUUGGAGGUAGCUUGUAUAAGGGCAAAGUCUUCUUAAAAGGUUGCAUGGGUGGGAGGUGGCUUGUUUUGGAGUGAUAAUGUAUGAGUGACCUGGGUUUCAGAAAUGCAACUGAACUGGGUGAGGAGAAGGCACUGAAAAUAUGAUUUGAAGUUGUUCUAAAUUUGAAUUAUUCUUAAGUCUCAGUUGUUAAGGUUUGGCUUCAAUGCAGAAUCUCAUUUUGCCGGCUCAUGGCUGAUGAAGUAUUUGUAGUGCUAUCCAUGCAGUAGCUUGGUGGUCUUGAUAAAUCCGUGUGGGAAGGGGGAUCAUAUGCUUUAAUCACUGCUGACAGCAUGGAACUAGAACUAAGACUGGUGCUCCUGCUGACGCCCUGUCAUCUUACUGUCUGAAACAGUGAGACCUGGGUACCUCCUCUGAGGAACUCCUCUGAGAGUUUUGCUGGUUAUAGCUUCUUCCCUGAGCCUUGUUUUAUUUCAUCGUGUUAAACUUAGGUGUUCUUGCUCUUGUUCCUUGAGCCUUCUUCUUUCCUGUGGAUCACUUUUUUUUUUUUUUUUUUCCCCAAGCACCUUCUAGAUGUAAAGAACAAAAUUUUGCUAAGGCUUUUAUUUAUUUACUUAGUUUAUAUCUUUGCUCCAACUGAAAAUUAGCCCACAUCCUUGGGGAAAAAAAAAAAAAAAAAAAGUCUCCAUGGCCAGACAGUAUGUUUACCUGAGGCCUUCUGAAUGUAAGCAGCUCUUUUUCUUCAUUUCUGCAUCCGUGGCUGCUGCAUUUGGGCUCAUUCUCAUUUGCUGUAGCCAAAGGUUUUGCCACCCUGCUAUUAUCAUCCUAUUAUAGCAUUACACUGGGUCAUGCUGAGGUGCCUGGGAGGAUUCACAAUCUUAGUGGUCCCUUGCAUGUGUGGGCAGGGCACAGUCUUGCUGAUGAGAUUAAGCUUUGUACAGUGUGACUGAAGAGGGGAGGAUGAAUGCUACUUCAUUGAUUUAUCCAAUGGUAGUUUGAGGUUUCAAAAUAUUCCCGUCUAAAAGGAAGGAUCAGCGUUACAGGAUUUCUUCAUAUUAGAAAAUGGGAUUCAGGUUGCUUCCCCGUGGCAGAUGAAAUGGGGAGUUGGAAGCAUCUCUGUGUGCUCCAGGUGACUGGUUCCAUCACCGAAGAAAUUGAUAUGCUAAAUUGAAGAGCAUACUACACAAAUCCUGCUUCCCCUAAAUAAAGUGUCCUCAAAAUAUGGUGUGUAUGGGAUGAAGGGAGGAAAUAACCAGUGGAGAUGUAUAGUCACAGAGGAAAGCUACUAAAUGGCGUGUGAAAUUUGCUUCAGUUCAGACCAGGAAGUGUGUCUGCCUGAGGGAGCAGAAGGUCAGGUACAGUUCUUUUGGAUUGCGGGAGCCCUAUGCAUGUGGCACAAGGGUUCAGUGCAGUGACCUGUUGGACAUGAUCAUUGUUUGCAGCUGCUGCAAGGUGGCUGCAAUGGCUACAUUUACAUAUUCACUUAAUGAUAGAAAUAGGUACAUAAACCACUGUUGAACUAAUGCACAAAAAGCAAUGGGAGCAGGAGUAACAAGAAGAAGAUUCUUUGCCCUCAGAUGUUGCUGAGCAGCUACAAGAAGUCAGAGGAUGCAAGCCCUGUGAAAGGUUUGAAGUGGGACAGAAGUGUGACAUGGCUCCUGCAGCAGAAGACAUUUAAAAAGUAAUCCCAAACUUCCUUUGUCUCAAACAAGAGAUUUAAGAAGAAAUUGCAUAGGAGAGACCUGACCUAUACACCUAAGUUCAAGUUUAUUUGUGAGGAGUUGGUUUUCAAGAAUGGUUUGGUGGAGAUGCUUGUUUUGUGCCUAGAGAUGCCAGGAAAUAUCUGAUGCUGAAAUAUCUGUAUGUCUUGAGCUCAUAAAAUUGUUGGAGUUGCAAAAGGGGGCUUUUCUGAAUGUGGACAGAGUGAAAAAUAGGCUGCUGACUUCUGUGAAGUUAUGGGGCAUGUACUUUCAUCAACUGGACAGUAAGAUCACUAGAAUGUAAGCAUGAUACAAGAGUAAAAAUGAUCCGGAAUGUGUUGAAACAAUUAUGAACACCACAUUGUAUGAAAAACAUAUCUGUUGUUUGUGCUAAGCAUCUACAAUACAAAAAUAAAAUACCUUAGGAACACCUUUUAUAUCAUGAAGAAUUUGGAGGCUAUAGACAAAGUGAGGGAUCUGAAUGAACAGUUAAUACUUUUUCUGUUGGUGAAGGGAUGGCUUAAAUAAGACUUUACCUAUAGUUGCAGUCUGUUACAGAGUUUAAAACAGAGCUUUGCAUGUUGAUUGCACUGAGUGGGCACUGGCUUACUAAUCCUGAGGGCACAUCUGUGAGGUAGGAGAGGUUGUGGUUCGCUCAGCUGGGCAGGAGCUGUUAAUCGAAGAGCCAGAUCUAAAAGGGUCCUUUCCAACUCUAACAAUUCUAUAAUUCUGUAUGAAAUCAAAGUAGGAGAUGUGUUGCUGAUUCUACUUUCUUCUUUCACUAUUUUUUUUUCUACCUGCUGCUAUGAACAGUUCACACAGGCUUGCCAUGCUUUCUGCUCAGCUGGCAAUAUUUGCAUCCUCAGCAAAGUAACGGAUGAUUCCAUUUUGCCUGCUUUUGGUACUGGUGGCUGGCCAUUCCUAGCUUCAAUGCAAGAAAAAUCAGAAUAGGAAAAGGAAGCCAGAAAUCACACAUGUAAAGCAAAAACCCUCCUGAAGCCCUGGUAUGAACAGUGACACCUGUCUGGAUUGCACUGCAAAAGCUGCAGCUGUGACUGCUCCUGGGAAAAUCUCUUUAGCUACCACGGGGCCUAGAGCCACUGGAGAAGGGUAAAGGUUAAGCCCUUCUUAGGCAAUUAAUCAUCCUUUUCUGGAUGACAGAGGUGACAUUUCUUAGUAGCUACUGGAGCGAGGUUGGAGCUCUAGCCCACUACCAGCUGCUAGUUGCUUGUAAAAACAGAGUGGGAAGAAGCAUCAACUGUGUAGAGAACAGUCCAAAGAUUUGUGCAACAACCCAAAAUACACAUGGUCCAGAAUUGAUUUCUCUAGCCAGGCUUCACCCCUUCCGGUCACACAGGUGAAUUGCCUUCACCUGUUCUCCCAGGGCUGACCUGGUCCCUUCUGCAGGUGAUCAAUCGGUGGUUCAGUCCGUGACUCAACAGUUCCCAUACAUUACCUAGCAGAGGUUUGGUAAUGUUAUGGUAGUUUGUAUUUCUCUGUAUAGUAUGGACAGAGGAACAUCUAUUAUUGGCAAGGGACUGCCAGCAAGCUGCUCAGGGAGGAUAUUGCCCUAAUCAAAUGUGCCACUAGCAGUAGCUGGUAGGAUGGCCAAGUUUAUUGGAGUUACUGACUGUGGUGGUGAGAAGCCAGACUGUACUCAGCACCUGGUUAUAUGCUUAAUAUUACAUACUGAUGUAGCAUCUCAAGAACACCUCCAUUACACCUUUCUGUCUCUUUUGGUAUUGGAAUUGAAAUACAGUAACGGACUUAACGGACUCGGAUGUAUGGGGAAGGUCUGCAUGCCUCAGUACAGCCUAUAUGUUGAGAAUAUUCUGCUCUACAGUGUGGCCCAAAAGAACCAUGUGAUCUGUCUGUUUGUUUUUUUCCAGUAUUUGAGGUCUCCUAUGCCACCAUAAUCUCAGAUAGCAGAGAGAUGCCUGUGCAAUCUUGCUAUGAAAUUUCAGAGGGAAUAAGAGUGCCCCAGAGAACCCAGACAGGACCAGUGCUUCUCUGCAGGACACUGAAGGUUGCUGGGUGGGAGGUAAUAGGAGAAAGGCCACUAGCAGGACAGAGGUGUAAUGGGUAACAACACAAUAGAGCUGGAAGACGUUGCUAGGUUUUACAUGAUCAGGAACUGCAAGACAAUUUCUUGUUUGCUGUCUAUGGUGUGACUUUACGUAGCUUCUAGCUUCCAGUGAAGCAACUUUCACAACCUGCCCAUUUCUGGGCCAUGUUUACUCAGAGAAAAUUUUUGAAAUACAGAAGCUUCUUUUUGUUCCCCCUUUUUUUUUCUGCUCUGAAAAAUAAACUGAUUAGAUCCUGUAUUUGUUCUUCUAGCAGAGCAGUUGCUGCCAUCCUUAACAACAGCUUCUCAUCCACUGAAACCAUGUUAUCACAUCCCAUUCUGCUUCCAGACUAAAAAAAUCCUGCUCCCCACUCUGUCCUGGGCCUGUUUCCCACAUGCUUUGUCACUGCCAAUGUUCUCCCUUUCAUUUUCAGUCAGCAGCUUUCAGUCUGUGUUCAAGUUACCCAGCUGCACAGCUGGCUCUGGGCAGUCCUUGCUUCAGCUGUGUACAUAACUGCUUCCUUACAGCCUAAGCCAAGAUGUCAAAAGAACACAGCUAAUUCACUGUUGCUAAUAUUGCCAUUAAUAUUUAUUAUAAAAGUAGCACCUUCUGUUGUCAGUUAUUAGUUUCAGGCUACUGCUGAAAGAAAUGAGGCUUGUUGGCAUUCCCUCUUCCCCUAAGCCAUCUUCACAUCCCUCCCACCUUCCCAGCAGACUCAGAUUUGGUUAGGUGUCCCUAACCAAAUAUUUUGACCUGUUCCCUGGACAAGACAAUACAAAAGCUGCCAAACAAUGGAUGAGGACCAGCCUCUGCCUGCUGAUCCUUCUCUAGAGUGACAGCAAGAGCUCCCUGCUGUACUCAGCUAUAGAAACAUUCUCAAUUUUGAUUCCUCUAUGUCACAUUUUUUAAUGAGCUAGUUCGUUCCUGAGUGAGUAAUGGGGGACUGGCAGUGCAAGAAGUAGCCCUAUUUUCUCAAGAAACUACAGAAAAGAAACAACAAGCCUGACAAAAAGACGUAAUUAAAUUGAUCCUUGAAUUUCAGAACAUAUAUUUUAGUAAAGAUCAAACAGUGCUUUGAAAUUCUCUUCUGAUUUUGAAACAUCUGGCUCAUUCUGGUUAUAUCAAAGUAGAAAGAAAAUCAAGGAGAAAUACCAUUUUGGUUAAGGCAAAAGCAGAGAAGAAGCAAAGUAGAGUGAGCCUGUAUUUAUAGAGAAGAAAAACACCUCUUUUUCCACUGCUUUUAACACCGGAGGGGAGGGCUAGGAUGGGAUAGCUCUGCCCCUUCCUGCGGCAGGUCUCACUGAAUGUUUUUUUUAAAGCUAGAAGAAGGCAGCCAAAGGAACAAGGGAGAGCUUUUGCUCCCCUUCUGUCAUGGGUCUAAUGUGAAGCAAUUCCUGCAGAAACUAGACUGUGUUUGAGGCAGUUCAGGUGAAGAUUAGGGCUGAGUUUCAUCUGUCCCAUCUUUAUAUCCACAAAAUAGGUGCCUCCAUCUGAAUUAUGGCUAGACUGGAGAGGCACUGGAGAGACACGGGCAUUGUUAGGCAGCAGUUUGCUCACCUGUCUCAGAUGUCUGCCUUUGGAGUGGUAAGCUCAUGCCCUAGAAAUGCUUCUCUAAUAAAUAUUAAACUGGGGGACUUUUCUUGUUUCAUUGAAUGAUUUGUUCUCAAUUUGUUAUACAAAAGACUUCUUGCUUUUAAACAGCAUUUUUCUAUUCUUGUGUGUUUUCAUUUUUAAUAAAGAAUUAAUCCUUGCUCAAAAUGAGGAUGUUCUGGUGUUCUCUGAGAGCAAAUUUUGAGAAUUUGUGAGGACUUCUAUUUUUGAAGUUAUGGGAUGCUAGGCAAGCCAUCCUGGUCUCUUCAGCAGUUCAAACACUAGUCUUGGGGAAAAUAAGCAAAAACCAGGCUAUACCUCCAACCUUUGCUGGAGUUACACAUGAGGUCUUUGACCAGCAGACACAGCAUAGAUGUGCUGCAAACAUGGUGCUAAAUAUGUUCUUCACAAAUAUUUACAGUUAAAUUCAUUGUAAGAAUGAAUCAAUAUUUAAUCUGAAGUAGCGUUAUGAAAUGACAAAUUAUAUCUCAGUCACUGUGAUGACAUGCGUCAUCCAGGGCUAUGUAGCUUUUUUAGCUACAUAGCUAAACAUUUCCUCAUGUGUAUGCCGUUUCUCAUAUGUUUUCUUGCUUAUGUAGAAAACCUCUAUUUGUAAUAAUUGAAAAAAAAUAAAAUAAGGGCUUUUAGAAUUUCUUAAAUGAAAUUAUAAAUGUCUCAAUGUAAAUAUACAUGUUUAGUUAUUGUACAUAUUACUAUAAAUGGAAAUAUACAUAUGUAUCAUUAGAAAACAAGGUAACAGUCAAAUAUUUUAUCCCUAUAGCAAGAAGUCAUACUCUGAGCUGUGUUUCAGAGUGGCUGGUCUUACAGAAGUGUUAUGUGCCUUUAAAGUGGAAGCUCUUGCUUGUCAGUUUCCUGACAUUCAGAGAUGUCCCACAAAAAACUGGGACUAGUGGGAAAAGAGGCUGUGAAGUUUGUGUUACUGUGGGAUGGGAUGCUACAGAAUGAAGUGAAUCCUUAAUAUUUUAUUAUGUUGAUCCACAACGUGAGAAGUGAAUGGUGGUGGUAUGGUAGUAGACAGUGAACCUUCCUACCCAUAUUCCGUAACAUUUUGUUUCUGUGCAUCAGAAGGGCAGUAUGACAAAAUGGCUUCUGAUACAAAGUGAGUAUGAAGCAUAGGUAUGAAACUGAAUUCCCCCGAUAUAAAAAAAAUUGCACCCACUGACGUUCAUUGACACUUGUUGAACAUUUAUGGAGACCAAACAGUGGAUGUCGGCACAUCAAGGCAGGGAGUGGUAUAUUUCAGCAAUGGCAACAGUGAUAUUAGGUCACCUCUGCUGGUGCAGAUUUUUUUUAAUUUUUUUUUUAAAACAAGCUCAGCAUGCAGACUCUUGUUCAUUGCUGGCAAAAACUUUUAGCUAAUGGUGGUGACUGUUGAAAAACUGUGUUUUGUAACUACUCUAUCAAGUAGCAUUAUUGUGCUAUUUAUCUGUUGUCAUUUCCAUAGAGAUAUAUAGAAACUUUUGGAACAACUUAUGUAGAUACAGACUACUACUAAUAUAUAGCUAUGGUCUCCAGAAGACCAACUGCAGGGUCAAGGAAGCAACAGCAUAGAGCCACAGUGUCACAGCCCAGUAAGGGCUUCUCUUCAUCUGUCCCAGCUGGACCCAAUUUCUGGAUGUAUUCCAGAGGAACACAUCUUCUGCUCAGCUCUGAAAAACCAAACAGCUGCUGCUGUGUCCGCACUAGCCCAUGCAAUUGCAGCAGCAACAUGAUCCUCACCUAAUCACAAACUUGGAGGGGAAAACCCAUAGUUAUUCAUUCUCUCUAAGCCAUAUCUGGGUUUCUUCUGGCUUUUCUCAUGAUUCAUGGUUCACACCUACUGGGAUGAAUAUUUAUAUACAUAUUAUUUCCUCUCCCCCACUCCUACCUAUGACUCUGCACUUCACUGCAGCUCUGCCCAGGGAUACCCCUGCUGGAAACUGGCUGACUCAGCACUGAGAGCCAUGAUGGGGUAGCAACAGCACUUCAGAGCCUGAGGAAUGUCAAGAUCUUCUCAGGUUACAUCCUCAGGAAUUCACCUGCUCUUCCCAUGCAUUAGUUGCAUGCUGAAAUGGAAGGUGCAGUUAAAAUCCACUGUUGUAUUAAUGUUAGCAGCUACCUUACAUAUUACCCCAAUGAAAGCAGAUGCCUGAGGUGUAUGGGCAGGACAUGACUGCCUAAAGCCAAGCCCUGAAUAUGCUCACAGUAACCUCUGUGCUGAGAUGAAACAUCGCUGUCAACUCUGCUAGGCAGCUUCUUAGGUUUCAGGGGUACAGAACAAGUACCAUCAUAUUCUGCCUUUUUCUUUAACCUUUCUAAGAAUAUGAGGUCCAGUAUUAAAUGUGGAGGUUGGCAGCCCUGCCUGUGGCAGGGGAGCUGGAUGUUGAUGAUUCUUCUGAUCCCUUCCAACCCAAAACAUUCUAUGAUUCUGUAAAAUCACGUUUAGUGAUUUUUAAUGUUUACUUCUUUAGACAUCUUCUGUUCAACCCCACUGUGUCCCCAUUGCUGUUGCUAUUUCCCUUCUUGUGAUAAUUGGCUCUUUUUUGAUAGAGUAGUUCAUGUUUUCCUUUUCAAGCCUAAAGUCACAUUAAGGUUUGAUCCUGCAGAUGCCUGAAAUCUCUCUAAUGCAUAAUAUAAAGUGUUUUGCAUGGUAUUUCUGUCUGAAGGCAUAAAGAGAAAUGGAAGGUCAGCUGCUUAAGAAAUCAGGCAAGUAAAUAGCCCAGGAGAGAUAUCACCUUAAACACACAAGCCAGGCGCAGAGCUGUGGGAGGCAACUCUCAGUUCCUGUCCUAGCAUCACAGUUACUAGAAACAGUAUCAAAACAACCAUACAUUAAAGUAGGUCAUAUUAGUCUCAAACAAAUGUUUACUGGACCUCAACCUAGGGUUGUUCUGCUACUGUUGUCAUCAAAAAUUCAGGAAGAAAACACAAACUGUUGAAACUGCUGUUAGAAAGCAGCAUUCCCUUAUUCUCCUAAUACAUACCAGGCAACUCAAUAAAUCAAGAGCAUGCUCUCAGUGUGCAGGUUCUAUGUUUAAACAGCUUAGACAUACUUACAUGACACAUCAGUAUACAAAUUAAUUAUUUUAUAAGAAUUUGCAUUAAUAUAUGCAAAUGUCCUUCUGGGUGUGCGUGGUCACACCUAUUGUGGUCAUAUGACUAUGCACUUCCUUCCCUUUAUUUUCUUCUUUCUCUUCAUCACAGUGCCCUUUGGCUGAUCUCUAGCUAUUUUUCCAUGAUUUGGCAGACUUUCAUUGCUUGUCGUGCCAUAAUGAGCAGCUUUCUAUCCUAGUAGAUUGACUCAAAACAAUUUAAGUAAAACCCAAGAAAAAGUCCUUGCACCUGAUGGAUACAAAGAUAAAGAGUAGUCUGUUGUGGCUUCAGUGAAGCAUGGAUUAUUCAAAAAAAAAAAAAAAAAAAAAAGGCUGUUUAGAUACUAAGCAAAAAUAUACUGGAAAAUUUUAGAACUAGUACACAUUAAUUUCUGGUCCCUAAACCAGUAUCCUAGUUCCUAUUGCUAAACCAGUCUGUAUCAGAACCAAAACACAUAGCAUCAUACCAGGCACUCUGAAGAAACCCAUUCCAUUCAAACUAAAACUAAGACACUUUACUGUUGUGCUUGAUUACUGUUAAGACCUUUGGCAACAUGUUUGUUGUGCUCCAAUAAACUAUGUCAUGUAACAGGAAUCAAAUAUUUUUAAGUUACAGGCUUUAAAAUUAGUACUAUCUUUUCUUAUCUCUUUUUAAAAGGUUAAAUGGGAAAAGGAAUCACUCUGAUAUGAGUUGCAGUGAUACUAUUAAGCUUGCUAAGUUUCACUGUUGGGUAGCCCUGUGUCCUUACACUGAGCAGAUAAGGUGAGUUCUGUCAAGUCUUUGUAUUAGGUUAAUAAAGGAAGCUCUGCUCUGAAACAUCUAAUUUUGUGCAAGCAAAUAUUGUGCAGUCAAGGUAUUCUGCUCACAAAAAAGCAAAAUUGCUUGUGACAGGAUCUUGGCAAUAAAAGAAGUAAUUUCAAGUAUGCCAAUAGUCAUAAACAAAAAGAAGAGUUGAACUUACCCAACCAUUGAGGGACUAUACAGCACUCCUUCUCUGGAAACAUCCUAGAUCUAUGAGGUGGUCUCCUUUCAGUGGCUGGCCUUUAUAUGAGCCUAGGGUGGCUCUAUGCUGGGUCUGUGCCUUCUGGUCACAUGGGGAGCAAAGGUGCAAAUAGUUUGCUUGUGCUCCUGUCAAUGGUUUCUGGGCCUGUUAGACCCAGUUCCAUGACAGAUGGGGCAGGGGGACCCAAAGACCCAUG
This 10674-nucleotide long non-coding RNA is filed under the name Gallus gallus (chicken). Its description in RNAcentral is "lncRNA (ENSGALG00010025952.1)". The record is from RNAcentral. Lineage: Eukaryota; Metazoa; Chordata; Aves; Galliformes; Phasianidae.